Molecule: ribosomal RNA, 468 nt
Filed under: uncultured bacterium
Lineage: Bacteria
Description: partial 16S ribosomal RNA
Rfam family: Bacterial small subunit ribosomal RNA
Source: RNAcentral
GACGAACGCUGGCGGCGUGCUUAACACAUGCAAGUCGAACGGAAAGGCCCUGCUUUUGUGGGGUGCUCGAGUGGCGAACGGGUGAGUAACACGUGAGUAACCUGCCCUUGACUUUGGGAUAACUUCAGGAAACUGGGGCUAAUACCGGAUAGGAGCUCCUGCUGCAUGGUGGGGGUUGGAAAGUUUCGGCGGUUGGGGAUGGACUCGCGGCUUAUCAGCUUGUUGGUGGGGUAGUGGCUUACCAAGGCUUUGACGGGUAGCCGGCCUGAGAGGGUGACCGGGGACAAUGGGCCUAAGAGAGGGAGCAGAGGGGAACAGGAGGCAGAAGGGGGGAGUAUGACACAAUGGGGCGACGCGUGAUGAAGAAGGAUCGGGUUGGGGAAGCAGGACAUGGGGUGAGAAACGGCAUUAGCUUGAGACCAAGCGGGAUUGACGUUAACGAGUGAAGAAGCACCGGCUAACUACGUG